This 484-nucleotide ribosomal RNA is filed under the name uncultured bacterium. RNAcentral describes it as "partial 16S ribosomal RNA". It matches the Rfam family "Bacterial small subunit ribosomal RNA", at positions 30 to 507 of the family's 1533-position model. The record is from RNAcentral.
AUUGAACGCUGGCGGCAGGCCUAACACAUGCAAGUCGAGCGGAUGAAGGGAGCUUGCUCCUGGAUUCAGCGGCGGACGGGUGAGUAAUGCCUAGGAAUCUGCCUGGUAGUGGGGGAUAACGUCCGGAAACGGGCGCUAAUACCGCAUACGUCCUGAGGGAGAAAGUGGGGGAUCUUCGGACCUCACGCUAUCAGAUGAGCCUAGGUCGGAUUAGCUAGUUGGUGGGGUAAAGGCCUACCAAGGCGACGAUCCGUAACUGGUCUGAGAGGAUGAUCAGUCACACUGGAACUGAGACACGGUCCAGACUCCUACGGGAGGCAGCAGUGGGGAAUAUUGGACAAUGGGCGAAAGCCUGAUCCAGCCAUGCCGCGUGUGUGAAGAGGGUCUUCGGAUUGUAAAGCACUUUAAGUUGGGAGGAAGGGCAGUAAGUUAAUACCUUGCUGUUUUGACGUUACCAACAGAAUAAGCACCGGCUAACUUCAUG